Molecule: long non-coding RNA, 292 nt
Organism: Suricata suricatta (meerkat)
Lineage: Eukaryota; Metazoa; Chordata; Mammalia; Carnivora; Herpestidae
Exons: 3
Source: RefSeq, a predicted model, not a curated record
GGGAAGGCCAGGUCUGGGCCAGCUCUCCACCACAUAGCUUCCAGGAAAGCCCCACCGCCACUCAUCGUGACCAAAGUACAGAGCAAAAACAGACACUUCAAAUUCAGAAAACCUCGGUCCUGGCUGGGAAGAGGACCCAGAAGACUCCAGACAUGCAGGGAAGGCAAUCUGUGGGAAAAAGAGGAAAGGUUUCUUCUUGACAACUGAGAUGAAUGGACCAGAUGAUGUGAAAAUUUUCUGCUGGGACUGUGAUUGAAAUUCACAUGUAAAUAGAAAUUCAUAGAACUUUGCA